GGCCGUUUGGCUCAAUGGUAGAGCGUCCGCCUCCUACUUCAAUGGUUAGCGGGUAAGUUACUGUCACCAUCUCUAUACGAUUGUAUCACGUUCUGACAACUCGGAAAGAAGGCUGUGGGUUCGAGUCCCAUGAUGGUCG
Molecule: non-coding RNA, 139 nt
Organism: Recurvomyces mirabilis
Lineage: Eukaryota; Fungi; Ascomycota; Dothideomycetes; Mycosphaerellales; Teratosphaeriaceae
Source: the annotation of a RefSeq genome assembly